RNAcentral lists this transfer RNA (67 nucleotides) under Sclerogryllus punctatus. RNAcentral describes it as "tRNA-Ser". Lineage: Eukaryota; Metazoa; Arthropoda; Insecta; Orthoptera; Gryllidae. The record is from RNAcentral.
GAAACAGAUUGUUUGAAAUUAAGCUGCUAACUUGAAUUUUUAGCGGUUAGAUUCCGUUAUUGUUUCU